GUAGGUGAACCUGCGGAAGGAUCAUUAUUGAAAUAAACCUGACGGGUUGUUGCUGGUUCCCUAGGGAGCAUGUGCACACCUUGUCAUCUUUAUAUCUCCACCUGUGCACCUUUUGUAGGCCUUUCAGGUCUAUGUUGCUUCAUUUACCCCAAUGCAUGUUAAUAGAGUGUUGUGACUAUAAUAUCUAUACAACUUUCAGCAACGGAUCUCUUGGCUCUC
RNAcentral lists this unclassified non-coding RNA (219 nucleotides) under rhizosphere metagenome. RNAcentral's name for it is "partial ribosomal RNA internal transcribed spacer region". The record is from RNAcentral.